This 80-nucleotide transfer RNA is filed under the name Streptomyces lomondensis. Its description in RNAcentral is "tRNA-Arg". Lineage: Bacteria; Bacillati; Actinomycetota; Actinomycetes; Kitasatosporales; Streptomycetaceae. The record is from RNAcentral.
CGAGUGGCGGCGGGCGGAGGCGCUGCCCGGUGUCACGGUCACCGGCAAGUCGGCCGAGGUACGGGUCUUCCCGCCCGUCC